Coregonus clupeaformis (lake whitefish) is the source of this 1204-nucleotide long non-coding RNA. RefSeq lists it as uncharacterized. Lineage: Eukaryota; Metazoa; Chordata; Actinopteri; Salmoniformes; Salmonidae. The transcript has 4 exons. The record is from RefSeq and is a predicted model, not a curated record.
GCGAAAGCCUGUCUGCAGAUGAAGAGGUCCCAAUGAAGAGUAGUGGUUCUCAGUCCUGGUGCUGGGGACUCAAGCUUCAAGGGAUACCUUGCAACUGGAGAUUCCUUCAAAACGAUUGCCUACAGUUACCGUGUAGGGCACUGCAAGGUUGGGUGACCAGGGCCAUCUGGGACUGCCUCCUGGGGGAAUUCAGGCCUGUGUGUGAAGGCUUCCUGUGUCCUGCAUAACUUCAUGAGGAUGGACACGAGGUCCAGGAGGGGAUCUGUAGCUCGCCGCCGUGUGCCAGAGGAGAAGUCUGCUGCUCUGCAGGAUGUUUCAAGGAUGGGGGCCAACAACGCAGCACGGCAGGCAAUCUGUGUGCGGGAGAUCUUCACCUCCUACUUCUUCGAAGAGGGUGCUGUUCCCUGGCAACACCAUAGACUACACUAUGCACAACCAAAGGCUCUUUUAAGAGCCAUCCACAUUGCAAUACGAGUAUUCUUCCAUUUACUUAGCUAUGUCAACUGCAGUUAUUACAUUCCCAGUUUCUCUACCUUUUGAUUUCUGCUUCUCAGGUGAGGGUGCUGUUCAGGUAAAGGUGAUGUCUGUACAAAAACAAAACAGGCUAUUUUAAGAGUCACCCAUAUUGAGAACAAUUAGACACCCUAUAACCCACAACUAUGCACACGUGUAUCAAUCUGACUGAUGGAUUGUGUUGUGCAGUAAGCAGGCUCAGGUGUAUAUCUGUGGCUCCUUCCACCUUCAAAGAAUAGGCCAGAGGACCAACCAUGGAGAAUAGUAAGACACUUCAUUUUUACUAUUUAUAUAACUACACUAUAUUGUUUGUCCUCGUGUGUCUGUGCUUGUUUUUCAGUAUAAAGUACUCUGCAGCCGCUCAGUGUGGACACCAGGUUAUAUCAGCUGUGUCGGUGAACCCCUCCCGCAUCUGAACUGGCUACACAGAGGGCACAGCAUGAUCAGAGUUUCUCGUCUGCAGGUAUGUUUUGAUGUGAGAGAGGAUGCCAACCCCCAGUCCCGUCAUCGCCACCUCACCCGCUCUUAAGAUAACCUUCGGGCCGACUGGGGGCCCAAGGCCGGUUAGGAGACACCGCUAGAGACACUAUUAUGGAACUGUGAUGAACUGAGAGAACAUGAAGUUUAGUAGCACUGUGAUUCAUUAAUCAUAUGCUGUCUUCCCUAGUAGCACUGUGAUUCAUUAAUCACA